CAAACAUACUUGAUGUGUUUGUCCCCAGGGUGCAGCAAACAUUUGAUACAAAAGAAGAAGCCUACCUCUUUUACCUUGACUAUGCAAAGUUGGCUGGUUUUAGUGUCAGGACAAAAAGGACUAGUAAAGAAACCACACACUGGGUUUGCAACCGUGAGGGGUUUCUGAAGCCAGGUCAAGAGAAUGAGGAGCCUAUGACAAAUAAGACAUCGAUGAGAAUUGGUUGCCCUGCUUAUGUGAAGGUGAAGGAGGACAAGAAGCGCAAUAUUUGGUAUUUUCAUCAUGUUCAGGAAGCACACAAUCACAAACUUGAACCCUCACCAAGGAUGGUGAGAUAUAUGCAUUCUCAUAAGCAGAGGGAGGCAGCGUUGGAUGACCUGUUUGCAAUCAUGUCAAAGAGUGGUGUGCCAACACAGGCAGCAAUGAAUGUAAUGUCAGAAUUAUUUGGAGGCCGUCAAAACUGGCCGUUCACAGAGAAAGAUGUCCAUAACAAGAAAGCUGAGCAAGCAAGGGAGGAGAGGGAUGGUGACAUGGAUAAACUGUUCCAAUUUUUCAGGGAGUGCAAAGAACACAAUGAAUACUUUUAGUGGGAUGUGGAUUUUGAACCAAAAACAAAUGUGCUUCGGAGCAUUUUUUGGUGUCAUGCAAGUCAGCGUGCAGAAUACAAGGAUUUUGGGGAUGUAGUCACAUUUGACACAACACACAAGACUAACAACACGCAUAUGCCGUUGGCCAUGUUUGUGGGUUGCAGCAAUAAUUUGAAAAAUGUGUCCUUUGGCCAAGCACUUCUUCGGGAUGAAACAAUAGACACAUUCAGAUGGCUUUUUGAGACCUUUAAAAGUUGCAUGGGUGGUCAGCAACCUUUUGUGAUUCUUACAGAUGAAGAUGCAGCGAUGAAGGAAGCAAUAAGGAUUGUGUUUAACAAGACACAACACCGAAAUUG
Molecule: long non-coding RNA, 943 nt
Organism: Zea mays
Lineage: Eukaryota; Viridiplantae; Streptophyta; Magnoliopsida; Poales; Poaceae
Exons: 3
Source: RefSeq, a predicted model, not a curated record